Molecule: small RNA, 95 nt
Filed under: Paraglaciecola arctica BSs20135
Lineage: Bacteria; Pseudomonadati; Pseudomonadota; Gammaproteobacteria; Alteromonadales; Alteromonadaceae
Source: RNAcentral
GUUUGUUUAGAGGUGUAAGAAUUUAUACUUAGCGCACGGCUCUAACAAAGCCAUUCCCCUAAGCCCGAACUAGUAAUAGUUUCGGGCAUUUUUUU